Molecule: ribosomal RNA, 3927 nt
Filed under: Triticum aestivum (bread wheat)
Lineage: Eukaryota; Viridiplantae; Streptophyta; Magnoliopsida; Poales; Poaceae
Description: partial small subunit ribosomal RNA
Source: RNAcentral
AUGGCGGAGCUGGCGUCGGGCGCCGUGGGGACGCUGCUGGGCGUGAUCGGCCAAGAGGCGCUGAGGCUCGGCCGCGUCCGGCAUGACGUGCAGUUCAUCCAGGAGGAGAUGGAGAGCAUGGGCAGCUUCCUCGCGAACCUCUCCGGGAACAGCCGCGAGCACGACGAACAGGUCCGCACCUGGAUGAACCAGGUCCGGAUUCUCGCCAACGACUGCAACAACUGCAUCGACCUAUACCUCUACCGUGGGGACCCCGCUCUCCACUUGCCCAAGGAAGGCCCCGGCCGCUACCUCCGGUGGGCUCCCUGGCUGCUGCGCAAGCUGCUCGCACAACAUCGCGCAGCCGGCCAGCUGAGGGAGCUCAAGGACCGGGCACAAGACAUCGGCAACCGCCGAAUGAGAUAUGGCGUCGAGGUCAAAACAGAGUCAUCGUCUUCCGGAGCUGGGCUUACGGAGUCAUUAUUGCUGUCAGCCACACAAGACCAUGAAGAAGAAGAAGAAGACGAUGACGACCAACAUGGUGAUGAUCCACUGAAGGUGGCCUUGUCCAUGACUACUAUGUGGAUGGACAAGGAAGACUACUUUAGGAGGAGGCUAGAUGACUGGAUUGGAUCGGUGGUGCAGGCGGCGGUGGAGGCGGAGGCAGCGAAGAAAGGCAUAAAGUUAAAUGCGGAGGCGGCGACCGGAUCAAAACCAUUACUACCAUCCAUCGCCUUUGUAGCGAAGAACGAGUACGCCGACCAUCUUCGGUGUAAAGUCUUGGAAGUGGCAGACGGCCAUUUCAAGAGGGCGAAGGGCGUCCAAGAUAAGGUUGUCCCACCGACGACCAAGGACGCCGGGAAUAUCAUAGUCUUCGUCGACAUCCGCGCGGUGCACUACCAUAAUGUACCGCUACGACCCCACAAGAUUCUCUGCUACAUCCUGGCUGAGCUCGAGCCGCAGCAAGGCAAAGCUUCUACUUACAGAAAAAGAUGGGGUACUUACAAAUACGCAAGGAAGACGAUUCAUGAAAUCAAGGUCAAGAUAAAUAAAGUGAAUGUCGACGGGAAGAUCAAUGACAUCGUAGUAUCCAAUCUUGGUGAUAGUAAAGAUCAGCCGUGGGACCUGCAAAUUUUGGACAAUCUACAGGAGAAGCAAGAAAUUGGCGGUGAAGAAUUGGGCCGACUCCUGCGGCUGCUUAUCUACCACUCAACUAGUACUGCUGCUGCAACUGAAAAGGACAAAAAGAUUAAAUCUGGAGUAUCAGAGUUGUACGAUGACAUCAUCAAGCAAACAGCCAGGAACCUUAAAUUGAAAAUAGAAGAAGGAUGCUCAAGCUCAGAGCUGCAGGAGCCCAAAUCAGGCGGCUCAAGCCCAGAGCUGCAGGAGCUCGAAUAUGAAGACAUCUUGAAGACGGUGUUCCCAGAAACGAACGCCAGCAGCAUUACCACCACCACUGCUGCCAAUAGUCCUCACAGCACAUUGGUCGACGAUCAAAUCCAAGAAAUGGUCAGAAGGGUUACAGAAAUGAUGCAUGAUCUCAGGGAAUUAGAAAAAUCUGACAAGACAACCCCGGAAGCUGAUUUUCACGAAAGCAUAGUGAAGAAGAAGGCAGAGAUCAUAAAGAAGAUUAGGAAGCAGCUCAAGGUUAAAAUGAUGAUGCAAAAGAUUAAAAAACGCUUGGAAGGUGAUCAAAGGAUCCUGGUCAUACUGGAAGUUUAUGACAAGCAUGUGCCUGUAUGGCAAGAGACCAGAAACAGUUUGAUCUCGUUGGAAUUGGAGUGCCCCAUCGCAGGUGCUGUGUUCGUGGUCACAAAGACCACUCAACAGGAUUUUUCCUGUCCAGACCUGAUGGACCGUAUAGAAUAUUCUCUUGUUGGCCUCUACCUUGAUACUGUGGUCCAUCAUACAGGCCAGCAUAUGAAUGAUCCACAAACCCGCCUGAUUCUUCGCAACAUCUUGCGUGAGUGCGAGCCACAUGAAUUCUGCAUGAAGAUCUUUGCUCAAGCAUUGUACACCAAACCCAAGAGGAGCAGAGAAGAGUUGAGCAAGCUGCACAGCUCCUUGUGUGCACGUGACACACCAGAAUCAUUGCCCAGUAUGAUGCUCAAAUUCUCCUACAGGGAGCUACCUAAAGACUACAGGUCCUGUUUGUUGUACCUCGCUAUCUUCCCUCAAGGAGAACCCAUCAGGCGGUCAACCUUGAUAGAACGAUGGGUUGCAGAAGGGCUGAUAACAACCAAAGACUGGAGCUGGUCCUCUUCAGUGGUUGAAGCCGAGAAAUGUUUUGAUACGCUCGUCGCCCGGUGCCUUGUUUGUCCUUCUGACAUUGGUGCUACUGGAAAGGUCAAGAGCUGCACAGUCCAUAAGCUAGUUUAUGGAUUCAUUACCAAGAUCGCCAAGAAGCAGCGCAUUCUGCAGACACGGCUGUCACGUCACUUGGCUCAUCACUUCUCCAUAUUCAGCGAUGUCCGCCUUCGCAGCUCUGAAACAAUUGAAGAUUUUUUGAAAAAGUCAUCUCAGUUCUCCAAGCUUAAGGUACUAGAUCUAGAAGGCUGUCGUUGCUUCCAACAGAAGAACCAGUGCUACCUGAGGGACAUAUGCAGGAAGAUACUGAUGCUCAAGUAUCUCAGCUUGAGGAGAACGGAUGUUACCAGUCUGCCGAGUGAAAUCAACAAUCUUCAUGAGCUAGAGGUAUUGGAUAUCCGGGACACCAACAUUCCUGCAUAUGAAACAAGAACUGUCCUGCUCCGAAAGCUGAAGCGUCUGUUGGCUGGUCAAAAGCUGAAGCGUGUGUUGGCUGGUGAAGUUGAUCCAAGUCCAAGCAGUCCUACUGACUUCCCCAGUGUCCAGAUGCCUGAGAAGAUUAAAAAAAAGGAGAGUCUGGAGGUACCGUGCAAUGUCAAGCCGAAGAAUCGUCUGAAGCGUCUAUUGCCUGGUCAUGUUGAUUCAAGUCCUGCUGACUUCUCCAGUGUGCAGAUCCCUGAGAAGGUCGAAAAAAUGGAGGGUGUGGAGGUAUUGUCCAAUGUCAAGCCCAAGAGUCAUCAAGACUUGAAAGAUAUUGGAGGUCUAAAUGAGCUGAAGAAGCUCGGCGUGGUUAUCAACAAGGAGAGUGACCUACAGCGAUUGCUUAAAUCAAUCAAUGAUCUCCUAAAACAGUCCCUCCGUUUUCUGUCAAUUACUCUUGACAUAAGCAUAUACAAGGGCUCUUCAUCAGAGCUGAGUCUGGUAAACAGCCCCAAGUAUCUCGAGAGCCUAACUAUAAAUGGAAGCAAAAAGUGCCCCAACGAAAGCACUAGCACACAUAUGGGGAAGAUUCUUGAAUUAUUGACCAAUAAUGGCAAUAAACUUGCCAAGGUAACUCUAAGUUGCACUUUUCUGAGCCAGGAACACCUGAAUGUACUUGCCAAGCUUGAGAACUUACGGUGUGUCAAGCUUCGACACAAUGCGUACACUAAGAGCAAUCUCAUCUUCAAAGAGGGUGAAUUCAAGAAUCUCAACAGAUUUCUUGUUGAGGGAACCAACAUGACUGAAAUCAUAUUUGAUAAUGGAGCUGCUACUCAGCUCGAGAAAAUCGUUUUGUCCUCCACCAACAUAGUCCCUAUCAGUGGAGUUAAUUACCUUCAAAAUUUGGAGGAGCUCGAGCUGAACCACAUCAAGAACAAGGGCAGGUUGCAUUCAUUACUUCACAAUGCCGAUCACAUAACCAAGGUGACCCUUCGUGAUACAUUGCUGGAGCAAAGUGAUCUGGAAAUCCUGGCCCAGAAACCAAAUAUGCGCUGCAUAGUGCUCUUGGACAAGACUGGUAGUCAGCUUAUCUUGAACAAAGAUGAAUUCCAAAACGUCAACCUUCCUAUUGUCGACAAACUUCCUACACCAAAAGAGCUAAACGGUGGCAUUGUCCCUGAUGAGGUGAAAGAAGACAUCAAAACACCAGAAGCUAGGUAG